This is a long non-coding RNA of Oxyura jamaicensis (ruddy duck), 275 nucleotides long. RefSeq lists it as uncharacterized. The transcript is spliced from 3 exons. The record is from RefSeq and is a predicted model, not a curated record. Lineage: Eukaryota; Metazoa; Chordata; Aves; Anseriformes; Anatidae.
AUUUCUUCAGGAAAUUCACACACCUCACUGACUUUCAAAAUAAUUUUGUCUUCCAGUGUAACAAAAGCUUAUAAAACAGGGCUGGUUGAUCCUAAAUCAGAAAAAUAAAUAUUCAUGUAUUGAAAUGUGAAGGAAUGACCAGAUUCUGCAGCUACAUCCAAACAGAAAAAUACUCAUGUAAAUUUGAAGUGAAUUUCUCUUUUCUCUUCUGCUGUUCUGGUUAUCUUAUACCUUCAAGUGGUCCUAGUUUAAUUGGCACAGAGUUGUGAAGGAAA